Long non-coding RNA from Fukomys damarensis (Damara mole-rat), 5477 nucleotides. Lineage: Eukaryota; Metazoa; Chordata; Mammalia; Rodentia; Bathyergidae. The record is from Ensembl.
AUGGAUAAAAUCCUGUCUAAAUGGUCGGGAUGUGCCCUUGACCCAAAAGCCCUCAGUGACAAGUUCUUUGAGACCAUCGGAAAAAAUUGGAUUCCUGACCCCACCAUGACAUGGCUGCUGCACUUGUAUCCUAAAAAUUCUUGCCUUUACUGGGCCCCUAAAAUACAAUAUGCUGACGUUGAAAUGUCAAUUCGGGAGGGGAACACAACCCUACUGUCAGGAUGUUGUCCAUUGCACAGAGAGAUCAUGAAUCUAACAUUUGACAGGGAAGAACCCAAUUGGAUGCGAGGUGGAAUUUGGUCUGAUUGGUUUCCUCUCUCACAUUUUGUAAAUUAUCUUGUACACCUAAUGUGCCAUUAUCCCACUAUACCGGUGCUUCCAAAAAUGCAGGAACCCGAUCUAUAUAAUUCAAACAGGUAUCGAGAAAUAUGGGCUCGCCAAAAUGACCCAUACAGGUUAUAUAAGAUUAUAACUUUCCCAAAAUCAUUAGAGGCCUAUUCUCUGAAUUCAAAAAUUAAAAGCCUCUACAGCAAACUUCUGAGAGACUUAAGGCCCAUCCAUUUGGAACUGAUUCAAUCCUGGGAUUGUUGUUCUGCUGAUAAAUAUGUCCCUUUGACCUCUCCUAGGACUCUCCAGGAGGUAGCAGUUCGACAAUUAUUCGUUAAUGCGAGACAAAAAGCUGAGAUUGAACUCGAGGCCCAACAGAAUUGAGAUUGGCACCACAAACAUGGAACCAAACCACAGAGACCCAGAAGAUCUUCCCCUGCCUUAGGUUCCAUGAAGCCCCCAAACAGCAGGAAGUAGUUUUAUGAGGACAUCACCACAAGGUCCCCAAGAUUGGGUCCCAAGGUCCAUGAGAAGGGGGAAAUGUGGGACCCUAAAAAUCGGGCCCAAAUCCCAAGACCCUCUACUCAGCCUAAUUAACUCUUAUUUUGAGCUGAAAAGCCAUCCGGUAUCAGGGCCAAACUUCAAAUUAACUUAGUCAGUAAAAAUUUGCUCGGUUUGCUUAAUUUACUUACUUGUGAUAAGAACAGAGUCAGGAGGAUGGGAGGAAGGCCAUUCCAACCUCAAGGAGAAAGAACAGGAAGUUCUACAUAGAUAAGAAGAGUACACUGCAUCCUUGAGCAUACUAACCCCUUUUUGAACUGACCCUCUCCCCAAGCUAAAGUAAACUUUCCGCUUUUGCAAGAGCCCCAGCAACAUCCAAUAGAUUUAGAAAAUUAGAAAAGAAGCCAAUAGAAUAGAGAGAACUUCAAGCCACCCAAACCCUAUAAAAAUAGCCUGAUUUAGUGGGUCAAGACUUCCAGUUUGAAGCCGCUGUGUCGGUGACACUGGGAGUCCAGGCUCGAGCUUGCAAUAAACUCCUCAUGUAUUUACAUCAGAAGAGUUUCCUGGUGGUCUUCUUGGGGAUUUCGCGACUUGGGCACAACAGAAGGAACUAGAUGUUUCUAUUUGUUUCCGCUCUACAGCACAGUUUAAAUAGUGUUGUGCCUGACCUGAGUGAGACCCUCUCAGCAAACAUGCAACCCUCAACAAACAAUAGGAAACCACUAAAGGGCCAUGCUGUCUUCAGUAAACAGAACAGAUGGCUACAAAGAAAAUUUAAGACAGGAUGUACAAUCUCUCCAGCACUGGGAAGUUUGGUAUUAUUUGCACACCUGCACUGACCAUUCUGGGAAUUCUGACCCCAAGCAUUCCACCCUAGAUUCCUUAGGAUUACAUCCUCUAUCCCUAUGCCCUAUAAAAACCUAAUUUCUUCACUGGCUAAUUGCUGACAUCUUUCUUGAUCUCAGCUGAACAGCUUGAUCCCACGCAGAACAAAUCAGCUCUCAUUGCUCACAGAAAGCCUGUAUCCCAGUGGUUUCUCAUUCAGUAUUUGUAACAAAUAGCAAAGCUAUGCCAAGUUCCUUGAGAGCUUCCUCUAAAACUGCCUGGGCUAGCAUAUUUGAAAGAGAUGAUUCUUAGAGCAAUCAACUUAUUCCAUAGCUGUUGACUCCAUAUUUCCCCUGUUUCUUUUGCUUAAUUCUUUUGAUUGUUGGACAGUGACUUAAAACAUAGACCACUGGUUUAAAUAGAUGGUGUCUACCUUUAAUGAAUUCUAUUCUUGCACUCCAAUUGAUUGUAUUUCAGCCAGUGUUAGAGAAUGUUAUUCUAUCAGAGGAACAGAGAUGUUGGUAGUGUUUAGGGACUCUGUCCUACACCAACUGUAGGAUUAAGGGAAAAAAAUUUUAAAAGUAUGAAGCAUUUCAGCCAUUUCACAAUAACAUUUUCUUCCAAUACCAGGAAAUCUCCAGUCAGCAUGCAAGCCUCAGUUUUUAAAAUGUUGAGGCUGCAAAUUUUCUUGAAGAUGUAAUGUACAACUGAACUUUUGUUCUUUUAAAAUAUAUACAAAUAUACAGGAACAAAUACCCAUGCAAGCUCAAAUCAUAAUUCAAACAAUGAAUGUUGAACUUGUAAGGCUUUGGAAAAAAUGGGACAAGUGUUUGGGAGCCACUCAAGGGAAAGAAUUCACCAGGGUGGCUUUGAAGAGUCACGGUUGGGAGAAUUCCUAGAGUGGUAUAUGCAGAGAAACUUCCAUAGGCCUCCACUCUAGUGGAGCUAGCCUUGCCUGCCACCAACCAGUUCACUGACUGUAGCUAGUCAAACCUCCUUUCUACUCUCAACCCACAUGCCCAUACUUUCUGCCAGUGGCUGGCUGCAACGGGGUCUGCUUUGGCUGUGGGAUGAGCUGAACUAUUCUAAGGCAUUCAGGGAACCUGAGCAUCCUGGUCUGUGGGCAGAAGAGAGAGCAUCACUGGGCUCUGUGUCACUUCAUGCACUUAAAGAUCUUGGGGCAGUGUAAAGCAUUGCAUUAGCACUCAAUAGGUGCUGUUACUUAUAAUUACCAUUUAAAUAUUUGGAUCCAGUUCUAUGAGGUCUCCAGUGGAAGACAACAUAAGUAAAGGUUCACAGCAUCUGCCACCCUUUAACCAUAGGGGGUCUUUAACUUAGGUUAGAGAUAGGUCUUCUUUAUCUCUGAGUCUUCUACUCUCUUUUCCCAUCUAACACACAUCACAGAAUUGUUCUAAAUGACCCUGGGACUCUGCUUUGCUUGGACAGUAAGCUCUAGGGAUCCUCUGUUUCACAGCAAGAUGUGCUGUGCUGAGUUCAGUCUCAGGUCAUGCCCUUCCUGGCCUCUCCCCCUCCAGUAGCUGAAAGGGCAAUAACAGGACUUUUUAGGAUCUCUAAGUGUGGCUAUGGUAGAUAAUACCUACGAAGACCGAGGAUGUAGCUCAUUGGAGCUGGCAGCCACCUGAUAAUUCCUAUGAACUAAAGACUGGUGCCCACAUGGUUUGUCAUCCUGUUGUUGACUUGGCUACUCUCGGUACUGUUUCUAUAACAGAAGAUGAUAUCGAGGCUAGAGACCUUCGCUUGGAAUGCAUAUCCACUCUAAGUUUCCUGCCAAGAGUCCAGGCUCUAGAACCCAUUUUGCAUGCAAACUGUGUACUUUUUUCUUUUGGAUCUUUUCUAUUGAGUCUUCCCAGGAUUAUGGGCUGAACUGUGCUUCCCUCAGACUUCAUAUGCUGAAAUCCUAACCUCCAAUACCUCCAAAUAUACCCACAUUUAGAGAGACGGUCCUUAAAGCAAUGAUGAAGUGAAAAUAAAGCUGUCAGUGUAGGCCCUAAUCUAAUAUGGCUGUUUUCCUAAGAAUAGAAAAUUUGGACACACACAGACACCAGCUAUGUGUGCACACAGGGAACUCAUCAUGUGAGGACUCAGUGGUUUGUGAGCCAAGGAGAGAAGGCUCUGAAGAAACAUCUUGCUCUUGGACUUGUAGCAUUCAGUGCCAUGAUGAAAGAAUUUUCCACUGUUUAAUCUAUAGAGUCUGUGGUGUUUUGUCAUAGGAGCCUGUGUCAACAAAUGCUGCCAGUUAACAGUCUGUUCCUAAGCCCUGCUAGGGCAUGUUGUAGAAUUCAUUCAAAAUCUACUGGCUGGCAGGUAGUAUCCAGAAUAGGCUUGAUUAACAUGACCUCAUUCCAAGCUCCUGCUUCCUCCCACAAUAAUCACACAAAGCCACCAAGACACCAUUAAGAUAUUAAUAGUUGAGGUGCUAGAUCCAGGGCACCCAUUCUAUAGGAGUGGCCAGCCCCAAGGACAUGCCAUGCUAACUGUAUAGAUGAGAAAAUAAAGCUCAGAGAAGUUAAGCAGAUAGCUUGAGUUCUACCCUAAAAGUUAGAACCCUGUUCAGCACUGUGACUAUGUGGGUGUUGAGUGAGACCAUCCCAAAAGAAGGCUGUUCUCAGUGGCUGGGGCCAUCUGCAAGAUCCAAGUAUGACUCCUGCUGGUGGCUAAUGGGGACCUAUUCAGCAAGAUUGCAUCAAUACAGUUGGUAUCACCAUAUGGAGGACAUUUGACCAGACUUAUGAUCACUAAGCCGUGUACACAGUUGAUCAUAAGACAUAGGAGUGUCAGUCACUGACCAAGGUAUGAGCAGGUUCUUAAGGAGAAGAAUGGACUUCGUGGCUUAGAAUUUCUAUUGAAGAGAGUUGGGAACAGUCAUCUAGGUGGAAGUGGGGGUGUCAUUUUGCUUAGAUUAUGUUUACUGACUUAGAAGGUGGGGCCAAUAUGCAAGUGGCUGAUGUUUCCAAAUUGCCUUCUGGUGUUUUCAUUGCUUGGUGUUGAUUGUGGGAAUAUAAAACAAUUAAUGUUAUAGCGGCACAGUUUGUAAUAGCUAAAACUUGGAAACCGCCCAUUUGCCCAUCAGUUGGAGGUUGGAUAAAGAAGAUGUGGUUUUUCUAUAAAAUGGAAUACUACUCAGCCAUAAAGAAUGAGAAAUUAGAUUCAUUCAUAGGAAAAUGGAUACAAUAUUGAGGAUAUACUCCUAAGUGAAAUAAAUAAGUCACACAUGUAUAAAUACCAAAUAGUUUCUCUGGUGUGAAUAAACUGUAAUAGUACAUAAGAUCCUAAUGAUGUAAUGGACAAUGUGAAAUAGGAAGAAAAGGGCUAAAGGUGUAGGCAAAGUGGGAAGGGUAGGGGAAAAGUAAUAAGGGGAAAGAAAAAAAUGUGAGAAAACAAAACAAUGGAAAUAAAGUGUUUGUAAAUGGGGAGGGGAGGAGGGGGUGAAGGGAGGGCAGGGACAAGGGGAAAAAAUGAGAACCAAGACCUGUCAUGUAAAGGUACAAGAUCCCAAUAAUGAAUGUAACUGUACUGUAUACCUAAAAUGUACCAAUAAACUCAAUAAAAAAAAAUUAAUGGAUAGUCCCUGAACCUUUCUGAGAAUGCCUGGUUGUGAAGGGCAGUAUAAGGUAUGGACUUUGGGCUGCUGCCCACUCUUCUUUAGUAGUCCUAAACCAUUAAUCUCAAAAUUUAACUGUGCCCUAGAAUCAUUAGGACACAUUGAAAAGCAAGCUCUACUCCUUACCACUUUAAAUUAGCCUCCUUUCCAAAGGGUACAGCUCAGGUAUAUGCAGUUCAUUGUUGUUUAUUCUUCCUUAGGC